AAACAUUAACUUUGCCGAUUUUUUUAACCAAAAUGUUUUCCAAACGAUCUCAAUAUUUAUGUUCAUCUUUAUUAUUCAUGACAACGAUGUUGAUUUUGUUCAACCGCUAUCUUUAUACCGAAAAUCGUAAGCAUGUUAUGUGUAAAUCCGAGUAAAAUCGUAUCUGACUGACAAAAACAACAUUGAAAACAAUGGAUGCCAUAAACUGGAAAACACCGGAUCAGAUUCCAGAGGCGGAUAAGGGUAAUUCCGGGUUUGCCGAUCAAAUUCAAUAAAAAAAAAAAAUAAUUCCAGGCAGGUGACAAAAUACAUUGCUCAGCUGAUGAUAAAAUAAUUUAACAAUAGAAUUGAAAACCCAAAAGAUAUAUGGAAAAGAAAGAAAAAGCAGGAAAUAUUUUAUACAGAAACUCAAAAUUACUUUUAGUUCACAAAUUGUCAUGUCAAAAUUCAACAUGUUCAAUAAAAUGUGACAGUAAUUUUCUUUAUUAUUAAUAAAUGUUGAUAUUUCAUAUAGAUAUUUUUAUAGUGUAAACAUAUUACUACAAUUCCAAGAGAUAAUUUCUUCUAAAUUUUGAAUGACCGCCCAGUAAAAUCUUGAAGUUUCUUAAUUUAUUUUCACAGAGGAACCAAAUAAAUAGCUUUGAAUUUGUACUACUACUUAAAUUGUAUACUCCGAAAUGAACAAUAUAAAAAAGAGAUACAUAUAGCCCUUUAUAUCAUAGUGAAAACUACAAGACAACACCCACCCACCAACAGUGACACCAUCCCCAUAUAAAAACAAGAUAAUGUGAUUUUAUUAUAAAUUGUAGACAAUUACAUGUAUAAUUAAACAUGUUUUACAACAGUUACUGACAAUGAAACAAGUUAACCUAACACCAAAAGCACAUAAAUUUUGUAUCUUACUGAGUUAUGAAAUAUUUCAAGUAAAAGUAGGACCUGGAAUUUAGGCUGUGGACCUUUCAGUUUGGAGUGUCAAAGGUCCUGGACCUUCCAGUACCAAAUGUUAAUUUGAACCCCUG
Molecule: long non-coding RNA, 1019 nt
Filed under: Mytilus galloprovincialis (Mediterranean mussel)
Lineage: Eukaryota; Metazoa; Mollusca; Bivalvia; Mytilida; Mytilidae
Source: RNAcentral